This 402-nucleotide ribosomal RNA is filed under the name bacterium. Its description in RNAcentral is "partial 16S ribosomal RNA". It matches the Rfam family "Bacterial small subunit ribosomal RNA", at positions 355 to 776 of the family's 1533-position model. The record is from RNAcentral.
UGGGGAAUUUUGCACAAUGGGGGAAACCCUGAUGCAGCGACGCCGCGUGAUUUAGAAGGCCUUCGGGUUGUAAAAAUCUUUUCUAUGGGAAGAAAAUGACAGUACCAUAGGAAUAAGGACCGGCUAAUUACGUGCCAGCAGCCGCGGUAAUACGUAAGGUCCGAGCGUUGUCCGGAAUCAUUGGGCGUAAAGGGUACGUAGGCGGGUAAGCAAGUUAGAAGUGAAAUCCUAUAGCUCAACUAUAGUAAGCUUUUAAAACUGCUCAUCUUGAGGUAUGGAGGGGAAAGUGGAAUUCCUAGUGUAGCGGUGAAAUGCGCAGAUAUUAGGAGGAAUACCGGUGGCGAAGGCGACUUUCUGGCCAUAACCUGACGCUGAGGUACGAAAGCGUGGGUAGCAAACAGG